RNAcentral lists this long non-coding RNA (549 nucleotides) under Mus musculus (house mouse). RNAcentral's name for it is "predicted gene, 36159". Lineage: Eukaryota; Metazoa; Chordata; Mammalia; Rodentia; Muridae. The record is from RNAcentral.
GGAUGUGAAGGUGAGAAUGUUCGGGCGUUGCCUGCUGAUCCAGCACGUGCAGAGUCUUCUGCGUUUCAGUGUUCCUUGCUGCGUAGCAUCUAACAAAGGCGUCUUCUGCAUCUCCGAGUAGAGGGAACACUACUCUGCCCGGGUAAAGUUCCUUUCUCAUGUCUGGAAUAUCUACAGUUCUGGAACCGCAGGAGUGGUGAAACCCGUUGACACCUAAAGCCACAAGGUCUGCAGGUGAUUUGUUGGUUAACAAGAGAGAAACCAAGACACUCAUACAGGGGAAAUCCAGCGCACAUCUGUGCACAGAACAAUUCUUUCUGACUAAAGGUCUCCGAAGUCUGGCUAGCUUGGCCUCACUGGGAAUGGCGAACAUAGGCCCAUGCGCCCACCCACCUGUGCUCACAUGUCCUGAAGAAAUCUUCCACCUGGACCUGAAGCUCUUUUAUUCAGUCCGCAACAGUGGUUAUCAGCCUUCCUGACGCUGCGAGUCUUUAAUACAUUUCCUUGUGUUAUGGUGACACCCUCCCCAAUAAAAUAAUUUCAUUGCUA